CACAUUAAAUGAAGCAUCUGUUUAUCUAUUGGACAAGGACUGACACUGACUGAAUUCACUGCUAAAUUUGCCACAGCUAAGGUUAAACAAAAGGUAAUUUGUUAUUUUGGCUACUCAUCCAUUGGUGUAUGUACAGUUACUACUUAAAUUCCAGAAAAAGACACGUUCAGAAGGCUUGUGAAAAAUGAAACAGUUUUCCUCCCAGUGAUGGCAGGGAUCUCAAAUGAGUUGUGCUGUCAAUGGGAGCACAAGAGGUUAUCCAGUUUUCCAUAAUCUAUAAAGCUUCUUCAGAAUCAUGUCAUUAGCUUUCCUGUGGUAGCACGCAGCAGAGCUAAUAAUGCAAUU
This 345-nucleotide long non-coding RNA is filed under the name Coturnix japonica (Japanese quail). RNAcentral's name for it is "lncRNA (ENSCJPG00005012448.1)". Lineage: Eukaryota; Metazoa; Chordata; Aves; Galliformes; Phasianidae. The record is from RNAcentral.